AACUGAUACUACCUGCGGGAACCUGCGGAGGGAUCAUUACCGAGUUUACAACUCCCAAACCCCCUGUGAACCUAUACCAUUACUGUUGCUUCGGCGGGUCAUUGCCCCGGGGAAAGGACGAGGUGCCGCCUAGGCUCCCCGGCCCGCCCCCGGAAACAGGCGCCUGCCGGGGGAAUCAAACUCUUCUGUAUUUUUACUUUUACUGUUAUACUGUCUGAGUACAAAACUAUAAAUGAAUCA
This 240-nucleotide unclassified non-coding RNA is filed under the name soil metagenome. RNAcentral describes it as "partial contains 5.8S ribosomal RNA, internal transcribed spacer 2, and large subunit ribosomal RNA". The record is from RNAcentral.